Molecule: non-coding RNA, 72 nt
Organism: Salmo salar (Atlantic salmon)
Lineage: Eukaryota; Metazoa; Chordata; Actinopteri; Salmoniformes; Salmonidae
Source: Rfam
GCCCUGUAGCUCAGUUGGUAGAGCAUGGUGUUUGCAACGCCAGGGUUGUGGGUUCGAUUCCCACGGGGGGCC